Molecule: long non-coding RNA, 2095 nt
Filed under: Helianthus annuus (common sunflower)
Lineage: Eukaryota; Viridiplantae; Streptophyta; Magnoliopsida; Asterales; Asteraceae
Description: hypothetical non coding rna
Source: RNAcentral
UGUAUUGCAAAAUACAUCGGUAUUCGCGUCGGUUUUAGUCGUUAGUUAGUUAGUUUUAGUGUCGAUUUAGUUUAGAAUGUACAUACUAUUGAUCUAAGUUGUGUUUCCAGGUCUUUACAGCCAAAAGGAGUGAAAACGAGCAGAAUCUGGAAUGGCGAAAGGCUGGCACGGAAACCGAGGAAGUCGGGAGCUGAAACGAAGAAAAUUGGCACUUCUGGAGCUUCCAGGCGACCCGCGUUGACUAAACGAGCAUUCCCAAGCGGGCCGCCUUGACUUAAUGAAGAAUCAGGGUUAUUUCAUUCUCUCGCGCCCCGCGUAAACUUGAACAGAAAUGUGAGGCGGGCCGCGAGUGUCGUGUAAAACAAUUCAGGAGUUUUAAAGCUUAGGCGACCCGCAUAAGAUCAAGUUAAUAUUCCACGCGGGCCGCCUAAAGUUGUUAUGUCGGCAGACUUACGAGGAUUGCAUGGCAAGUUAGGGUUUUCGGUUAUAAAAACACAUGUUCGCAUCAGCAGCCGAUUAUUGACGAACUAGGGCAUCUUUGGGGCUGUUUUGGCUGCUGAUUGAAGGCUGUGAACGUGUCGGAGGCAUACCGGAAGCUAGGAAUCAUCGGGAAAGCAUUCUUGAGCAUUCGGGAGUGAAGAUUCGGGUUUUAUACACCUAUUUCUUGCAUUCUUUGUUUGUUUAGACUUUGUUAACGAUGAAUUCAGUUGAUAUUUUGAUUUUGACUUUGUUUCUGAUUAUGUUUUCCGGCUAAAACUCAUAAACUACCUAGGCGAUGACUAUGGCAUAAUGAAGAUUGGAUUUUUAUAUGAUUUUUGAUGUGGUUGUGAUUUUUCUUGCAUUGUAAACACUAUGAUAGUUUGUCUUGGUGCGUUUGUGUGCUUGUGAUUUCUUAUUUAUCGUUUAUUUGUUCCAUUCAAUUCUUGGUGACGGUCUUUAUCACGGAAUAGAGUUGAAUUAGGGUUUUUGACUUAGGUGAGUGUCUAUAUCACAUAAUAGGUCAUUAAUUCUCUAGGGUGAAAAGUGCACUAGUAACCUUAGGAACAAUAUUCGGUAAUUAAUUAAAAUCAAGUGUGCUGCUAGACUCGUCGCGGAAAGGCUCGAGGAUAUUGGUAGGUCUAGGAGUAGUUAAAAGGAAUUAACCACCCAUUGUCUAUCAAGCCAAGAUUAAACCCAUAGUUGCUUUAGACGUUCGCGCGGCAAAGUAGAGCGUCUUGCAUAAGCACUUUCAAGAAACUAGAGGACGGACAAGAAAUCUAGAAAACCGGUAGUUUAACAACCUCUAGGGAAUCUUAGUGUGCUCUUGAGAGGGAUUAGGGGUCCUUAGAUCUCCCUAGAGGUGAGAAUUUCAAGAUCCCGGUUUCACACCACAUCAUUAUCAUUUAGGAAUCCAUUCCGAGUUUAGCCUGCGUCUAGCCUAGGUAGUCUUCAUUCUCACUGAUCAGACCCCUUUGCUUGUGUUCGUGUUUUGCUUGCUAGUAUUAUUUUAUUAUUUUAUCUAGGAUUUUUAGAAACCCCCCCCCCCCCCAAAUUAAUAAACAAUUUAGUAUGUCGUGUCAGUCCGAGUCUAGAUAGAGUCUUAGCGUAGUCAGUAGAGUCCUGUGGGUUCGAUACUCGGACUUACUUUAGCUUUACUACAUUCGAUCGGUUCACUUGCCGAUUGUGUGUUUAGGGUUUAGGUCGAGUCUUAGUUUAUAAAUUUAAAGCUUAGAGAGUCUAGAAUUAGGGUAUUUUAGUUAGUUUUAUUUAACCCAUUUUCAGCACAUCAGUAUGCACAUCAAGUUUUUGGCGCCGUUGCCGGGGACUCUUGGCGAUUGCGCUGAUUACUUUGUUUGGACUUACUUGACAUAUUACGUGCUAUUUUGUUUCUUUGUUUGAGUCGUAGGUGUCUAAGUAUUUUAGUGUCUUUUUAUAGUUAGUCGAGUCGUUUAGUAGAGUCUUCUUACUUGUUUGUUUUCGGUUUUUGCAGUGGAUGCCCCAUACGCGCUCGCAGGGACCGCCGCCGUUGCCGCUUGCACUCAGGUCUUCCUUCUCGUCAUCUACGUCUGAGGUACGUGCUUCUAGCUCUACUUCAUUUUCUCAGUCCACCCCAUUU